Molecule: long non-coding RNA, 644 nt
Organism: Pipistrellus kuhlii (Kuhl's pipistrelle)
Lineage: Eukaryota; Metazoa; Chordata; Mammalia; Chiroptera; Vespertilionidae
Exons: 2
Source: RefSeq, a predicted model, not a curated record
GCCGAGCCCCGAGGAAGCUGCGCACAGCAGGGCCCGUGGGUGCCGCCGGAAGCCGGGUGGUGUAGGGUGGUGGUGCCCACGUGGGUCACCUGGUUUUGGUUUUAACUUAGAUUACGGUCUUAACUGCCGCGAAGGGUCAGCGUUCUGCUGCGGUUCCGAGUUCGGAAUGUCACAGGUCCACUCUGGCUGUUGUGAGAGACCAAACUUGGGGUCAGGGAGGUGGCAAGGAAAAGCAAGAAGGCCAGGUAAGGAAUUCUUGUGGUAAUCCAGAUGCCUGUAUUAGAUAGUACCAGAUGACUUGUAGCCAGAAGGAUUUGCUGACAAAUUCAUUGUUUUGGGUGAGGGAGUAAGGAAAGCAUAAUUCUAAGGUUUUGAAUCGGGGCAUUUGAUAAAGUUGAGAAUCCUGAUUUUCAGAGUUAUGUUGCCAAAGGCAGCAGAAUACCAAGGCUCAUAAUUUAGUAAAGAUAGUACGAUGUAAGGAUUGACCCUUGCUGUGGGUAUAGAUUGUCCACAUUGACUCCUGGGCUAAGUAUUCAAUUGAUAUAUAACUUGGGCAAAUUAUUUAAUCUUUCUGUCCCUAGUUUUCUCCUCCAUAAUAGGAGCUAAUCAUUGGGUUGCUGCAAGGCUUAAAUAAUUUCACUCUC